Molecule: ribosomal RNA, 446 nt
Filed under: uncultured bacterium
Lineage: Bacteria
Description: partial 16S ribosomal RNA
Rfam family: Bacterial small subunit ribosomal RNA
Source: RNAcentral
UACCAGACUCCUACGGGAGGCAGCAGUGGGGAAUAUUGCACAAUGGGGGAAACCCUGAUGCAGCGACGCCGCGUGAAGGAAGAAGUAUUUCGGUAUGUAAAGCUCUAUCAGCAGGGAAGAAAAUGACGGUACCUGACCAAGAAGCCCCGGCUAACUACGUGCCAGCAGCCGCGGUAAUACGUAGGGGGCAAGCGUUAUCCGGAUUUACUGGGUGUAAAGGGCGUGCAGCCGGGCUGAGAAGUCAGAUGUGAAAUCCCGCGGCUCAACCGCGGAACUGCAUUUGAAACUGUCAGUCUUGAGUACCGGAGAGGUCAUCGGAAUUCCUUGUGUAGCGGUGAAAUGCGUAGAUAUAAGGAAGAACACCAGUGGCGAAGGCGGAUGACUGGACGGCAACUGACGGUGAGGCGCGAAAGCGUGGGGAGCAAACAGGAUUAGAUACCCCAGUA